This 503-nucleotide ribosomal RNA is filed under the name uncultured bacterium. RNAcentral describes it as "bacterial SSU rRNA". It matches the Rfam family "Bacterial small subunit ribosomal RNA", at positions 21 to 518 of the family's 1533-position model. The record is from RNAcentral.
GGCUCAGGAUGAACGCUAGCGGCAGGCUUAACACAUGCAAGUCGAGGGGCAUCGGGAGUAGCAAUACUUGCCGGCGACCGGCGCAAGGGUGCGUAACGCGUGAGCAACAUGCCCGUAUCAGGGGGAUAAUCCAUGGAAACGUGGUCUAAUACCCCAUAGUAAUUAUGUAAGGCAUCUUAUAUAAUUUAAAGCUUUGGUGGAUACGGAUUGGCUCGCGUGACAUUAGCUAGAUGGUAAGGUAACGGCUUACCAUGGCUACGAUGUCUAGGGGUUCUGAGAGGAAGGUCCCCCACACUGGAACUGAGACACGGUCCAGACUCCUACGGGAGGCAGCAGUGAGGAAUAUUGGACAAUGGAUGGAAAUCUGAUCCAGCCAUGCCGCGUGCAAGGAAGACGGCCCUAUGGGUUGUAAACUGCUUUUGUAUGGGAGCAAUAAGGGCUACGCGUAGUCCGAUGAGAGUACCAUACGAAUAAGCACCGGCUAACUCCGUGCCAGCCGCCGC